CGCGUAUGCAACCUACCUUAUACAGGGGAAUAGCCCGAAGAAAUUCGGAUUAAUGCUCCAUGGUUUAUCGAUAUGGCAUCGUAUUGAUAAUAAAGAUUUAUCGGUAUAAGAUGGGCAUGCGUAUCAUUAGCUAGUUGGUGUGGUAACGGCAUACCAAGGCAACGAUGAUUAGGGGUCCUGAGAGGGAGAUCCCCCACACUGGUACUGAGACACGGACCAGACUCCUACGGGAGGCAGCAGUGAGGAAUAUUGGUCAAUGGAGGCAACUCUGAACCAGCCAUGCCGCGUGCAGGAUGACGGUCCUAUGGAUUGUAAACUGCUUUUGUACAGGAAGAAACCUCCCUACGAGUAGGGACUUGACGGUACUGUAAGAAUAAGGAUCGGCUAACUCCGUGCCAGCAGCCGCGGUAAUACGGAGGAUCCGAGCGUUAUCCGGAAUUAUUGGGUUUAAAGGGUUCGUAGGCGGCUUUGUAAGUCAGUGGUGAAAUUUCCUAGCUUAACUAGGACACUGCCAUUGAUACUGCAGAGCUUGAAUAGUAUGGAAGUAACUAGAAUAUGUAGUGUAGCGGUGAAAUGCUUAGAUAUUACAUGGAAUACCAAUUGCGAAGGCAGGUUACUACGUAUUUAUUGACGCUGAUG
Molecule: ribosomal RNA, 639 nt
Filed under: Myroides odoratimimus
Lineage: Bacteria; Pseudomonadati; Bacteroidota; Flavobacteriia; Flavobacteriales; Flavobacteriaceae
Description: bacterial SSU rRNA
Rfam family: Bacterial small subunit ribosomal RNA
Source: RNAcentral